This 679-nucleotide long non-coding RNA is filed under the name Malus domestica (apple). Its description in RNAcentral is "long non-coding RNA (MDOM_LNC017636)". The record is from RNAcentral. Lineage: Eukaryota; Viridiplantae; Streptophyta; Magnoliopsida; Rosales; Rosaceae.
CCAUUGUUGUCUGCACCUGUUCGCUCUCCUUUACAUUUAUCUGUAUCACCUUUUUCAGCUCCUAAUUUGUUAAAGCCAUAAACAUGCCUCUGAGAAGCUCCUCGACACCGAUCCUGAACUCAUGGAUGUCCCACUGCAAAGACUCCUCGCCGGAGCCGGAGCCACUCCUCUGUAGAAACAGGUCUGUCUCCCUAUCAUUGUGCACCUUUCACCCACCUACAGCUGACACAACAAAAACCCAAGUCUCCCUAGAAUCCGACAUCAAAAUCCAACAGAAACCCAGAAACAAGAAGCUUAACGUCCCCAUACCUCGAAGCCUCCGGAAGAAAUCGAAAACCAAGGCCGAGAAACCAGAGGAACCGGAAGAGGAGAUAAAACCCACUUCGAGAUUGUGGUUCGGGAGCUGAAAGGCUGUUUUCUAGCUCUGGUUUGGGGGAGAAAAUCAUGGAUGGUGAGGACUAUGGUGGGGGGAAGAAGAAAGAGAGUGUUUUGCAGACGCUGGUGGUGGGGGGCGGUGUGGGGAAUAGUGGCGGGAAGAUUUGCGGCGGCGGCGGUGGCGGGAAAGGAUCAGACGGCGGAGAAGGAAGUGGGUUUGGUUUCUUCGAGGGUAAUAAUCGUGGGAGUGGGAGUACUGAUGCUUAUUAUCAGAAGAUGAUUGAAGCUGACCCGGGAAAUGCUC